Xenia sp. Carnegie-2017 is the source of this 10136-nucleotide RNA transcript. It is a transcript of the gene named cadherin-23-like, with no coding region annotated. The transcript has 61 exons. The record is from RefSeq and is a predicted model, not a curated record. Lineage: Eukaryota; Metazoa; Cnidaria; Anthozoa; Malacalcyonacea; Xeniidae.
GCCUGAUAAAGACAAGUAUUUGUAAUCGUAGUUUUUCAAAGGAUGUAGUUUUUCAUACAUUUAUUAUAUAUACAUUUUUCUUUCAGAGAUCCAGCAAAAAUCGUCUCUAUUUAUGUGUAACGGCUCUAAGAAACACAAAUUGAGCUAACUAUAAUGUUACACUGUCCCUUCUUUUCUGUUUUAGUGUUCCAGAAGUGGCGAAACCAGGGCUAAUUUUACUCCUGCCAAGAAAAUAUUUGAGCAAAACCUUUUUUUUUCAUCUCCGGCUUCAAGUUCCUAUAAAUCAUGUUAAGCCGGAACUAGCUGUAUUAUACAGCAUACUUGAUAAUGAAUUACUAAAGGCUAAAAUUUCACCUGUCUAAUUUCUUCUAAUUGUAAACGUAAAUUAAUCAAAAAAUGAAGUGCGGUUAUUAAUUUUGACGCAACCUAGAUCUGCCACUUUUACUUAUCUCUAAAACCCUAAACUCUAGAACCCUGAUUUCCAAUCUCCACUAAGAUCAUCUUUCAUAGUCCAAUGUCAAUGUCAAAUAUGAAUAGUCGUUAUGGCGAAACUAACAUACCUCGAUGGUUUGAUUUUUUCCCGCGAAGACAAACUGCCCUCCGGCGAAGUCAUCAUUCAGAAUGCAGUUGUCCGAAUGGACGGGGUGGCUGAUGUGAAUGCCCUUGGAUGGUUGCUCUAAACGGACCAAAACGGAGCAUUAGACUGCUCUUCCUCCGCAUUGCUUGGUGGUCUCUCAUCUGGGUACUGACCAGUCUUCUGAAAUGUCUAAAUUGGCAAUUAUUAUAUGAGUUGUCAUCUUUUUCAAACGACGUCGACACCAGGACUCUCGGACAGGACACCUUCGCUUAAUGACAAACUAAUGUUUUUGUUGCAAGAUAUGCUGAGCAGGCGGGAUCUCGUUGAAGAUGUCUUGGUGGGAAAGUUUCUGGUUUGUCUAUGUCCUCUCCGUGGUAACCUUCGUAGCUGGAUUGGAUAUCAAAGACUACUCGGAUGCCAUAGAAGUCACGGAAGAACAAAAUAAGGAAACAUGGGUUAUCGAAAACACAUCUCCUGGGAUAAGUGGUUCACUUUCGUACAAAUUAUCGCCAGCGGGCAGAGAUUACGAAACCUAUAAAAAGUUCUUCAUUGUUCAAAUCAACGACACUCAUGCGUUGCUCAAACUAAAUUUUAGUUUCAACUUUGAGGACGCAUACACAAAGGAUCAGAAGAUGAAGAUUGAAAGUUAUAAUAAUCUCGGAGAUAGCGCUGGAGUGUUAACGCUUACUGUUAGUAUCAUAGAUAUCAACGAUUUUCGUCCCGUGUUCUUAAACCUUCCUGCAACAAUCAACUUGAGCGAGGCACUCUGCGUUGGAUCUAAAUUUUUCACCGUGAAAGGCAAAGAUGACGAUGCUGGUAAAUCAGGGACCAAUAAACAUAACGCAAUCACUUUCUCUAUAGUCGAUGGAAAUGUUGAUGGUGUGUUCUUGAUAGAGGAUGAAACUCAAAAAUCUGCACUUUUGAAACUUAAACAUCGCGUGGAUUACGAUGUAGGACCCACGAUGUACAAUCUCACAAUCAACGCAACUGACUAUCGUAAAGGAGUCAACGAGGAAAAUGCUCUCUGGUCGUUAUCGUAUCUUGUCGUGCAUAUAACUGACGUUGACGAUCAGUCAGCGGUCUUCACUCGAAAUUUGUACCAAGUCUCUUUGCCCGAGGACAGCUCGACGGGAACUUUGGCUGCAUCGGUUCUCGCCAUGGAUAAAGACAAAACUGAAAUAGGGAAAAUAAAAUAUGGGAUAGUUGACGCUAGCAAUCCCGGUGAUACUUUUGCCAUUAAUGAAACGAGCGGUGAAAUAAGGCUUGUUGGCACUCUUAAUCGAAAUAACCGAUCGUUUUUCGCAUUACUUGUGUUGGCCAAUACAACCUAUCAUGAUCCCACAUAUACCCAGGUGCUCAUCGUCGUUAAAGACGCGAACGUUAAUUCACCCAAAUUCAUCUCCAAUCUGUACUCGGCUCGAGUGGCGGAGAAUGCUGAAAUAGGGACUCUUGUGCUUGUGGUGCAGGCAAACGACGCCGAUGAGGGCAAUAAUUCGGUCCUUGGUUAUUCUCUCGGAAACGUUGAUUCCAGCUCAUUUUACGUGAUUACUAUUGGCUCUCUUGGAUUUGUUUAUGUCAACGCAACGUUGGAUUAUGUCGAGAAAAACAUUUAUAAUUUUACAGUCACCGCGACAGAACUCUACACGCAAGAAAAGUUCUUUGACACUUCCGUAAUCGUACUGCGCGUAUUCGAAGUGCCCGAAAAUGAAAACAGUCCAGUAUUCAAUCAGUCAACUCGUUCAGUGACGGUCACCGAGAAUUCUUUACCAGCGAGAAUUCUUCAGGUCUCCGCGACAGACAAAGAUCAAGGGGAGUUUGCGCGAAUUGCUUACUCAAUCAUUGACGGAUCUCUCGGAAAAUUCACGAUCGAUAACGUAACUGGAUGGAUAAAUACGACGUCACCAUUGGAUAGAGAAGAUAAAGAUGAAUAUCGUCUGUCUGUCAGGGCUGUUGAUGGUGGUGAAUUUACGCGUCAUGCAGACGUAACUGUCGUUGUAACAGUCCUUGAUUCGAAUGAUCAUUCACCAGUAUUUUUGGCCAAUAACUACACAGGAUCGGUUGUUGAAAACAGUAACCUUGACAACAUCAUUCUAGCCGUCCAAUCAAGAGAUUUUGAUGAGGGUAUCAACGCUUUAUUUGAAUAUUCCAUCAUUGGGGGUGAUGCGAAAUUUUCUGUUGUGACAGAAGGAGAAAUCGGUUACAUCAAAGUCAAUGGUAGCUUCGAUUAUGAAACAAGAAAAGCGUUUAGAUUUUUGGUCGUUGCUACGGAAACUGCAACCACAGAGCGGCGCAGAAGUAAUGCUUCUGUAUUUGUGACGGUUAUUGAUGUCAAUGAUAAUGCUCCUGUUUUCUCGCCGGUCAGCGGUUAUGUUGCAACGAUUUUCGAGAACAAGCCCAAUGGAACACCAGUGGUUAACGCGAGUGCAACUGAUGCAGACGAUCAUGUUUAUGGUGAGAUAACGUUUAGUCUACUGACGUCAUCUUUCCCAUUCCGGAUUAAUCCAAAUACGGGAGAGAUUGUGAGCGAUGGAAUUCUUGAUUAUGAAAGCCGACGUGGUUAUAAUUUGACGGUACAAGCUAGUGAUGGUGGCCAACCAGCUCUAAUAUCAUACGCUCCUGUUUUUGUUAAUGUUGUCGAUGUUAACGAUAAUCCUCCUAAGUUUCUCCAGACCAACUACGUCGUUAAUAUAAACGAGAACACGAAUAUUGGGACAGCGGUCUUGACUGUGACGGCGAUCGACGAUGAUGAGGGAUCAAAUUCAAAGAUUACCUACUCCAUUUGCGGUGGCGAUGACCUGUUUAAAGUGGACUCUAAUGGAGUGAUAUUGGUGAACGGUACGUUGGACUAUGAGAUGAACACCUCAUUGAAACUCACGGUGUUUGCCGAAGAGAGUUUGACGAAUGAGAAGUUCAGGGCGAACUGUUCCGUGGAGGUGAUUCUGAAUGAUGUGAAUGAAUACGACCCGGUUUUUCUUGAAGAAAGUUACUUCGCUACAAUAUAUGAAAACGAAGAAGUAGGAGCGACAAUUGCUCAGGUAAAAGCCUCCGAUCAAGAUGGACGUUUCAGCAGCAUAAAAUAUUUUAUCAUUUCUGGUAAUCUCGAUGGAUAUUUCACGAUGAAUCAAACGUCCGGUCUUGUCAGGACGAAUACGUCUUUCGAUUACGAGUCGAUGAAUCAUCACUUUUUCUUGAUAGUGCAAGCAUCUGAUGAUGGAAAUCCAAACAGGACAUCUCGAACGUUUCUUGUUAUUAACAUGAAGGACCGAAACGACAAUUUCCCUGUGUUUUUGAAAUCUUCGUACAACGCCACAAUACCCGAGAAUCUUCCCCCAAAGACUGUUGUGCUGACUGUCAAAGCGGUCGACCACGACGUUAAUACGAGCAACUCCGACUUGCGUUAUUUUGUUUUGAAUUCGGAUGCGAAGUUCGACGUAGAUUCCUUAACCGGUCAGAUAUUUGUGAACGGAUCUUUAGAUUUCGAAGCUCAAGAGAAUUACGAGUUUCAGGUGAUUGCGGAGGAGUCUUCGAACAAACUACAACAUAAAGCGUCGGUAUUCCUCAGUUUGUCCGAUGUGAAUGAGUAUGAUCCAGUCUUUAACAACACUGCUUAUGUUGUAAACGUCAGCGAAGGAAGCUCAGCGAUUGGAUCGCCUGUUGUUCGGGUGGCUGCGAUGGAUAAUGAUGGUUAUUUCAACCAGUUGUCGUACAGCAUUUUACCUGCAUUGGAUCACGGCAGUUUUUCAAUCGACAACAGCUCUGGUCUCGUACGCACUGCUGUUGAACUGGACCGCGAGAGACAGGAGAAGCUCAUAUUGAUCGUUGAAGCAAAGGACAACGGUAUUUUCCAGCGAAAAUCACAAGUCACUGUAGUAAUUGAUGUCAUAGAUUCAAAUGACCACAUUCCAGUGUUUACGGAGAGCAGUUACAAUGCGACGAUACCAGAGAAUCUUGCUAUUGGCUCUUCAUUUCUUACUGUAAAAGCAUAUGACGUUGACGUCGGUUCUAACGCCUACUUUCAGUACCGUAUCCUUGGUUACGAAGAAACGUUUGACAUUUCCAUUGAUGGCGUUAUCUCGACAAAAACUGUAUUGGAUUUUGAAAAUAUGACAACGUACACGUUUUUGGUUGUUGCAAACGAAAGAAACAGUUCUGCUCAACCAAAUGCGACGGUUACUGUUAACAUUGAAGAUGUGAACGAGUAUAAUCCUGUGUUUGAUCAACCGCACUACUCCACAAAUAUUUCAGAAAAUACUCCCAAUGGAACUUUUGUUCUCAAGGUGUCUGCAAAUGAUGCCGAUGGCUACUAUCAUCAGAUAUCCUAUUCUAUCCUAUUUGGAGACGAUGACCGUUUUAUGAUCAAUUCGACGACUGGAGUGAUCGAGACUAAAGACGAAUUAGAUCGAGAGGUCAGAUCGUCUUAUACGCUCAUCAUACGUGGACAAGACGAUGGCCCGUCCCCAGGUCGCGUGGCCGAGACCAUCGUGGUUGUGAACAUCUUGGAUAUGAAUGAUCAUGCUCCGACAUUAUUCCAGACGCAUUAUAGUGCAUAUGUGUUUGAAAAUGCCGCCGUUAAUUCUACUGUUUUGACGGUUUAUGCGUCCGAUUUAGACAAGGGCAAGAACGGCGACUUUUCGUACGAGUUGGUCGGUUGUGAUGGUUUGUUUUCUAUCAUAAAAAUUGGAAAUAUUGGUGAAAUUUUGGUCGAUGGUGUUUUGGAUUUUGAAAAGAACAAGACAUUCCAGUUUCACGUUGUGGCCAAGGAAACCCUUACGUCAGAGCGGAGAGAAUCGAACGCCUCCGUUGAUGUCAUCUUGAUGGAUGUGAAUGAUAACGCACCUGUUUUUGCAAAAGAUUUUUACGAAGUUAGCGUUCAAGAAUCUCCCAGAUUUCCUCAGUCAGUUGGCACUGCGACUGCGCACGACAAAGAUUCCGAGAGAUUCGGCGAAAUAAUCUACUCGAUUUUCCAAGGAAAUGAAAAUGCCAACUUUACCAUCGACAGCAAGACCGGAGAGGUGAAGACGGGCGCGGCCUUAAAUCGAGAAAUGAGAGACAGCUAUUUGUUGACCAUUGAAGCGCAAGAUGGUGGUCUCCCUCCUCGUAAAGCCAUAUCCACAAUGCUGGUGACUGUGACCGAUAGCAAUGAGGAGCCGCCGUAUUUUGUCGAUACACCAUACACGGCAAGAAUUGUUGAAAAUACAGAGUAUGUUUCAUCUGUGAUUUUUAAAGUAAACGCAAUUGAUCCAGAUCUAAUGUCAUUGAAAUAUAGUAUGGAAAAUAGUUCUAGUUUUGAAGUGGAUUCCGUGUCUGGUGUCAUUAGUGCAAACGGUCAGUUUGAUCGUGAAACCCAAUCGAUUUACAAUCUCACUGUCAUUGCUGUUGAUCAAGGUGGAUUGAACGCUACUGCUCUAGUCAUCAUAACCGUCCAAGAUGUAAAUGACAACACACCUCAGUUCGCACACACUCCUUACCAAGUCAGUCUCUCCGACAACACAAGUAUUGGAGUUGACGUUUUGAGAAUACAAGCCAUUGACCUUGACGCUGCUCAUAACGGCGAGAUAAUCUAUUUCCUAGUCGAUACCGAAGGAAAGUUUCUUAUUAACCAAACAACAGGUGCAGUGUCUGUCUCUGGUCUACUAGACAGCCAGGAAAAGUCUCUUUACGUAAUGAAAGUAUUAGCCAGUGACCGCGGAAUACCGUUUGCUCGAAUCAACUCUACUACACUUACGGUCAACUUAACCGAUGACAGAAAUCAUGCACCAAAGUUUCUUGACGUCGCUUGGAUAGCUUCACUGUACGAGAGCCUGGAACCGACGUUUGUUGUCAAUGUUGAAGCACUUGAUCCGGAUUCUGGGGUGCUGGGAGUAAUUUCGUAUAGUAUUACUAGCGGCAACAGAUACAAUGCAUUCACGGUCAACGCAACGGGAGCAAUAUAUUCAGCCAUGAAGUUAGACUAUGAGAAUCGUACCCAGAGAACAUUUGAUUUGAUUGUGAUGGCAAGGGAUAGCCUGGGGUUAACGGACACUACUCAGGUCAGAAUUACUGUCGUUGACGUCAACGAUAACCCGCCAGCGAUUAUCAACUUACCAGAACCCGCAGUCUUUAAUAUUAGCGGUAGCACUCGCAAAGGAUCUUUCAUUUAUGUUCUCGAAGCCGAAGAUCUCGAUUCGGAUGAUUCGGGUCGUUUUGAAUUUCACGGCGUUGCUGUUCCUGAUAACUUGACUGUAGAUCAAAGUUCUGGGGUGAUUAAAGCCAAAACAAACCUGGACAGCUCUCACUUGUCAAGCAUCUUGUUCACUGUCUACGUCAAAGAUAAAGGAAAUCCAAGCCUCGCGAGCUUUAACUACACCAUCAAAUUUAACAUCAUAGUCGAUCCUGUAGCAGAUCCAUUCCUUCUGCCAACGCUGACACAGACGAGCGUCUUCGAAAACGCAUCAUUGAAUGACAUCGUAGUUAGAGUAAAUUCAUCUCAGCGUGCAGAUAAUUUUACGAUAUUGAUUGAACUUCCACGCGCUGGAUUCUUUCGAAUCGACCAUCAAGGUAAUAUUUAUUUGACGAAGAUACUAGAUCACGAAACAAUAGAUGGCUUUAGCCUUCUGGUAAUGUCUACAAAACACAAAGAACAAGCGUUUGGAUUUGUUUCCGUCAUUGUGAAGGAUGUUAAUGACGAGAGUCCGACGUUCCAGUUUUCUCAUUACGAAGUUCAGUUGGAUGAAAAUCUACCCCCAGCUACAACUGUCUUAUUUCUCCACGCUAUUGAUGGAGACGUGCAGGAUACGAUUUCAUAUUUUAUUCACUCUGGUAAUACGGGAAAUGCUUUUAACGUAUCGACGAAAGGAGAAAUCCAGAUUGCCACACCACCCGAUUAUGAAAAGGCGCCAUUCUAUAAUUUAACUGUUAUUGCUAGCGAUGGUGUUAAUACAGGUGCGACUUUCGUUGAGUUGAAUGUUCUUAAUGUUAACGACAACGUUCCACGAUUCUUCAAUUCAUCUUACACUUUGAACUUGCCCGAGGAUACACCAGGAGGUUCUGUCGUGUUACAAGUUUCAGCAUCGGACGAAGAUGGAGAUGAUGUCGUGUACUCCAUUUCUGGUGACAAUGGAAAAUUCAACAUCGACCCACUCACUGGCGUUCUCACAACAACGGACGAUCCUGUUGAUUUUGAGGAAACUUCGUUCUACGUGUUGAACACUACAGCCAGUGAUCGCGGAGGACGAAAGUCCUCUGUCAAAAUCCUCAUCAACAUCACUGACUCAAACGAUAAUAGACCGGUGUUUUCAAAACAAACAUAUAACGUCACGAUAGCUGAAAACUUCCGUGGAGCGAUUUCUUCCCUCGCCAUCGAUGCCACUGAUCUUGAUUCUGGAAAAAAUGGUAAAGUGUCGUUUUCGAUCGUUGACGGACGCAUUGGAUUUUCUAUCGACUCGAAUACGGGACGGAUCAAUGUGACGAAAGCUAUUGACGUGGAUACCUCUGGAGUAACUACUGAUCUUUAUUGCCGGGGGGUGUUGGUUUUUACUAUUAAAGCAUCUGACGAUGGCAAACCUCAGCUUUUUGAUGUUGUAACGGUGAAAGUAUUUGUCUUGGAUGUUAACGACAAUGCUCCGAGUUUUUCCCGAUCUUCUUACUAUGAUGUCGUGUCCGUGUUGGCAACCGGUACCAUUCUACGUGUCAGGGCAAAUGACGACGAUUGCGGAUCGAAUGGCGAGAUUCGGUACUCUCUUUCUACAGUAAACGACAGCAGUAUCUUUGCGAUCGAUGAUAAAACGGGAAAUAUCAACGCCACCAAGUCACUGGAAGAUGGCGAAGGCGUUUAUUUGCUCGAAGUUAGAGCAUCGAAUUUUGUGUUUCCCAAUUUUUCCAGUGAUGUCUUAGUGACGAUCACUGUUAUUGACAGCAGGAAUAAUCCACCGAGUUUUGUCAAAGAUCACUAUUUGUUCGUAGUGUCCGAGGGCGCGGGGAUUGGUACCAACAUCGGUAUGGUCCACGCUUUUGAUGUUGAUCAGAAUGAAAGUGGAGUGUUCAUCUACACGUUGGAAGAUCGUGGCAACGUAUUGCCUUUCACCAUCCAUCCACUAUCAGGAAAUAUUACCCUUGUGCGAGGACUGGACCGAGAGAUACAGGAAAACUUUACUUUCGUUGUGAUAGCCGAAGAUUUUAGCUCCCCACGAUUGCAACGCUCAGCAACCGUUGACGUCAUUGUUGAUGACGUCAACGACAAGAUUCCAAAAUUUGAACAUGAUUUACAGAGGUUUACUAUCCCGGAAAAUAUUUCUGUAAAUUCAUUGGUGUGUACCGUAAAUGCUGUUGAUUUGGACAAGGAACGAUUUGGAGAGCCUACAUACAUUAUACACAGCGGUAACGGUGCGGGAUAUUUUCGAAUCGAUAAUGCCACUGGUGAAAUAUAUCUUUCAAAAUCUCUGGAUAGAGAGACCAUUAACGUCCACACACUUGUCGUGUAUGCUUACAAUUAUGGUGGUGAUACCUCGCGAAAACGACGGGAUCUUGAUCGAACGUGCUUUUUUACGUUGUUAAAGAUGGCGAAUUUCUCACUCAAGCAAAAAUGCUAAGCUUGAUAUUGGAAUAUUGCGAAGCGAACAAAGAACAUGCCAAUCUUGCCUGUUUAUGUGGAAGAAGCAGUGUCUUGAAGGGAGAAGAUGAAAUCACCGUCGUCGAAAUGAUGUUGUUACUAAUGGGGGUGUUUGUGGGUAUUGGUGGUCUACUGGGUAUAUUUCUCUUGUGCUGUUUAAGAAGGAAACGUUUCAUGCCAGUAGGCGACACAAGUGACUGUGUCCUACCACAGAAAGCAGUAUCUCUCGAUGGAAAACAGCAACUCAGUCAAGAAGAUAAUGAUCCCGAACGCAGGUCUGGGGACGGUGAACUACGUAUUUACUACGAGGAAACUUCAUUACACUCCGCUGAAGAAGCAGCCACGGCAUUGUCGACAUUCGCCGUUGAAAUCGAGAAGGAAGAGGCUAUUGCUAAAGUGCAUGCUUACAUGAAUCAGGCUUUGAUUGAUGACGAGAGUUCCGACUCCUUUACGGAUAGCUCCGAAGAUGAGGAACCUCGCGAGGCAGUGAUGGAACCGCCCGGAACGAAUGGGGACUAUACAAAGCCUGUUGUUUCAAAUUACACCAUCACCAACAUAUGAUGUCUUGCAGGCUUGAUCUGAUCAUCUGAAGAACGCGGUUUGAUUGAUUUAUUGAUGUAUUGAUUGACAGAUUUUUGUGACAAAUCUUCCCACAAAGGGGGAAAAAUGAAGCGUAUGAAAAUGCCUGUUCUUAUCCUAUAAAGGUCCAUAUUCUUUGUUGACUUUUCUAUUUUAUGUCGUAAAAAAUAAAACCUUAUAGAUGACAGUUCUUAGAUGUCAUUUACUAGAUGUCAUUCUUGUAAAUGCCAGUUCUAACAAGAACUGUUGAAAACCAAAAAUUAAGAAAAACGGUGCCUCAUUAGGGAUACGUCUGCUUGAGAAAAAUCUACUUAUAUCUAUAUAAAAAAAUGUACUAAUAAAUUGAGACAAGAAAUUGGAUGAUGUCAUUGGAAUUACACAUGAACCCAAAUA